ACUCAAAGGAAUUGACGGGGGCCCGCACAAGCAGUGGAGUAUGUGGUUUAAUUCGAAGCAACGCGAAGAACCUUACCAGGGCUUGACAUCCCUCUGACCGGUAUAGAGAUAUACCUUCCCUUCGGGGCAGAGGAGACAGGUGGUGCAUGGUUGUCGUCAGCUCGUGUCGUGAGAUGUUGGGUUAAGUCCCGCAACGAGCGCAACCCCUGUUGUUAGUUGCCAGCAUUCAGUUGGGCACUCUAGCGAGACUGCCGGUGAUAAAUCGGAGGAAGGUGGGGACGACGUCAAAUCAUCAUGCCCCUUAUGUCCUGGGCUACACACGUACUACAAUGGCGAUAACAGAGGGAAGCGAGACCGCGAGGUGGAGCAAAACCCCAAAAGUCGCCCCAGUUCAGAUUGCAGGCUGCAACUCGCCUGCAUGAAGUCGGAAUUGCUAGUAAUGGCAGGUCAGCAUACUGCCGUGAAUACGUUCCCGGGCCUUGUACACACCGCCCGU
RNAcentral lists this ribosomal RNA (496 nucleotides) under uncultured bacterium. RNAcentral's name for it is "bacterial SSU rRNA". It matches the Rfam family "Bacterial small subunit ribosomal RNA", at positions 899 to 1397 of the family's 1533-position model. The record is from RNAcentral.